UGGGGGACUCAAAACGGAGGACAGUGGGGACACAAACUAGAUGAAGGGAAAACACAAAGAAAAAUAAUUAUUUGACCACAGCGCCGUGGUGUUAAAGGGCUUUGAUCUCCGUUGCCAUGGCGCUUGGCUGAGCUGCCGGUCAGUUCACUGGGCACUUCCUGUUUCCUCUCAUUCUUUUUCAACAUGUCUGACGAACCGAGCAUAAUGAGUACUGUCAAACUGGGGGGAAAAAACGGGACGAGCUGUUACACACACACACACACACACAAAGUGCACAGGAAUACUGUAUACAUAGGUUUUUUGUUUUUUUGCAAUAUCGCUGAUGGUUUCAGCGUUUAUAGGUCAAAGGUCAGGUUUAUAAAUGUGGCGAAGCGUCCACAUAAAGCAAUAAACAUUUCUAUUCGUAUUUAUCACGAGCGUGCAACGUGUUUUGGCGGUGUAUUAGGGUGCUCUGUGCUCGAUUAGCUCUUAGCUUGCUUUAUUCUUUUUUUUUUUGGCAGAAUUAAUCCUAAAAAAUAAUUGCGAUGCCUUCAUCCAAUUUACGAACUUGUGAACCGAUCAGUUCCUAUGCAUUGAAAAGCCUGAUUGAUUAAAAAAAAAAAGCGAGGGCUACUUUUUAUGUUUUAUAAGUCAAAAAUGAAAUAAAUAAAGAGUUGGUGUGGGUUUGUACUGGGAUGCAUUUUAUCGGAAAUCAAGCCUAAUUGCAUGUUAGCAUUAGAAUUAGCAAGACUAAAGUAGAUCUUGUAUUUAAAAAAAUAAAAUAAAAUUGUAAAAAUAAAAUUUUCAAACACAAUUUCUUAGAUUUAUGGCAUGAAAAGUGUCGAGUACGACAGCCUGAGUAGUGCAAAAGAUUUCUAAAAAUGUACUGGAUGUCUAACAAGACCAUGAAUUAUUAUUAUUAUUAUUAUUAUUAUUAUUAUUUACACGACAGAUGAAAGAACUUUCUAUCUCUUUCAAUCUCAAGCUAGCAAAGAACGAUGGAUGAAAGAGGCAGGAGUUUUGCAUAAUUUCCUGAUAACAGCUGCUAAUUUUUUGCUCCACUUGUGGAAUAAACAACCUCGUAACUAUGCUAGCUGGCUACCGUUCACUUUUGGUCAAAAGGAAUUUGGUCUUGCUUAUUUUUUGCCCAGCUAUUUUUUUUUUAAUCCUGCUAGCUAGCAAACCGUAACACUCUCCAGCUAGCUGAUUAGCUUUACACGGGGCAUUCAAAAUAAUUCUAGUAUACGAUAAUACGUGGCCUGUCUGGACAUCCGUAGUUUGUUUUGUUUUUUUUAUUUACAAAUAGGUCAUGAUGUUACAAGCGACAGUUUUUCAGGUCAGUUUAUUUCUAUAUUUGUUUCGAUUUUUUCAAAGCGUGCAUUUGAGAAAUAUCAAAAUUGUAAACGUUUUACUGCGUGUGAUCAGGCCGCGGUGUGUGGUGCAUUAGUGCAUAUUAUUAUUAUUAUUAUUAUUGUUAUUAUUAUUAUUAUCAUUGUCAUUGAACUCCUCUCCAUUACAUGAACAAAGGCGUGUUGGUCGAUUAACGUUUACUUUACUCACCCACGAUACACCUGCACAGGGAGUGAUGAGGUCACGCGUUGAGCUGAAGCGAAAAUGACUUCUAGAAAGGUCUCGGCUGUGUUCCAAAUACAAAGUGAUGAAUGUUUUCCAGUAGUUAUGAUAUGAAGUGUUUAUUGUGGUGCUCGCUCGACCAUUUAGUGAGGACCGGCGUAGACACUUGGUAGGGAGACUAGUUUAUUAUAAAUGAAGCAGGCAGUAACACUCGACGUUUAGGCCGUGGCUUUGUGCGUGAGAACAUUCAGGACGCCGUCCUUUAGCAACAUUAAGAAAAACAUAGUUCCGGCUCAAAUCAAAACUGGAAUACUGAGUAUUUCAAAACUUUUGUGUUUAUUUUAGAAGCUGAAGGCAAAUUCGUAUGUCCCGAGUGAGAAGUUUGCGAAAUGUCCAUGCCUUUGUUCCAGGUCCAAACUGGAAAAGACUGGAAAAGAUCUGCGCUCAAGUGUUUUAACUGAGAGAGAGAGAGAAUUGAAUAUAAUGCUCGCUCGACCGUUUACCCGGAUACUUUCAUGCAAUGGUGCUUUUGAACAGAGUGAUAACAAUGAUGUUAGUGAUACACCGCCAGCAGUGUUCCAAAUCGGAGCUGGAACCCUCAUGUGCCAUGUGUUCAAGACUUGAAAGAGGAAAAAAUAUGAUGCUUGUUGUGGAUUUCGAGUUGCUGUUAAAGCUUGUUUUAAGCUCCGGAUUUCAGGCUGCGUUCCAAGUCAAAAACUGGAAAUCUCGGUGUGUACUUGAUGAUGGUGAGGAUUGUAAAAGGUGUUUUUUAAAAACGUUUCAGAUAGUGAUAUAUGUAUAUUUUCACAUUUUUACAAAGGAGGAUUUGAGAAGACGAAGUCGUCACGUUUCAACCAUUUUGAGCGUGAUUAUUAAACUGUACUGCUCAUAUUGUUGUCUGCUGUUGUUGUUGUUUUUUUUUUUUUUUAUAGUCAUUGGUGGAAAUCAGAUUGAGAUUCAGAAGGUUUACCGAGAACGUGACGCUCCAGCUUAGCGUAAAUGCAACGGACACUCCAUGUUUUCUACGUAUUUUAAAAGACGAGCGCUCUGAUCGUGUCACGUUUUAACUCCUGAAUCUUUUUUUUUGUUUUUUUUUGAGUAUGUUCUUCCCAGCUGUUACUCCCGAUGCAGCAUGCUAACGCUAAAUGCUAGCCACUCUUUGGAUGUUGGGAUACGCACAUGACGUCUGUUCUUUCCUCAGCGGUUUACAGCGAUGCAACAGACUGGACAAUAUCAUCUCAUUGCAUCGCAUCAGCGUCACGUGGGUUCACGUUUAUUCUCAUGUAAUUAGCAAAGCAAGGCUAACACGAGCGUAGAAACAGGACUACGCGUGCAUCAGAUUGCGGCGCCGCGGUUUAUAUUAUCGCUCUUGCAACCGAAAAGACGGAUGUGCGCGGCGAUUGUUACAAUUUACAAAUGUUACAGAGUGCACGCUAGCUCAGAGGCACCAGCAUUGCUAAAGAACACAAUUUUAACACAAACCAUGUAGCGUAUUUCAAUUCCGUGCUAAAGGUUGGCCGGAAAUGUGCUUUUUACAGACGAUUGACUCCUCAGCCCCGCCCUCUUUUUAAAAAUAAAUAAAUAAAUAAAUAAAAAAGUCGGUUGACAAAAUUGAUUUCUGUGAAUUUGCAGAGCAAAGAAAAGCAUCUUUCACGUCUUGCGUCCUUUCAGAGAAUCUGCUUUUCCUUAGUUUUCAGCUGUCUCCAGAUUGAGAGUCAUAUUUGCUAAGGAUAAAUGGCGGAGCCUCUGCUAGCAAAGCGACUUGUCGCACUUGUGGGCGUGGCCUGUUAUUUAAGGUCAAAAUGGUGAUAGCCAGAACUUACUGCCUGCAUUUAUAUUUUAUAUUAAUUUAUAGCGUGAAAAUUGAGACGUUACACGCACUUUAUAGUUACACGUCGCUAGUGUGAACUUUACUGAUUAACAUUGGUCAGUUUCCCGCAGGUAGCACUGGAUUAUGAAACUGAACACGGUCACAUGGUGCAUUUUCAAAACAGCCAAUCAGAGCCUCCCAAUCCAGCUGGUUAUCGUGUAACACGAUUCAGAAUGUAAUCAGCGUUUUACAGAUUUUACUACCUGUUUACGGCUGCUUUCACACUCCGGCUCACGUGACGUGCUCUCUGUAACCAUGGCAACAUGCUUACUAGUCCUAGCUGUAGUAGCUAGUCCAGUAUUGGCUAACUAGCCUGGCUAGCUCCGUGGAAUAUGUUUAUUAUUUGUUAUAUUGGGAAUGUAGAUGAAGUAAAGGUUGGUGUUUUGUCUUAGGUGCAGCUUCAGAAAAUUCAAGCUGCUUUUUUGUGUUUUAUUUUACGUUAUAUUUACACCGCCUCUCAGCGAUGAGACACUUUUUCUCCACCAGUGCUCCACGUCUGAGCCCGAAUCUGCGACCUGAUUGGUUAAGAGUGGAGGAGGAAACACUCCUCACGCCACUCAAAAAGAACGUGCUUCGAAACGUGUGUUUGCGGGUUGAAAGUGUGAAAGCAGCCUGCGGUGUGUGACGAACUACAACUAAAGCGAUUGUAAGAACUGAAAUAUCUCAAUAUUGCAUUAAAAAUAAAUAAUAACAGAAAUAAUGAAAUUAUACAACGUGAAGCUCGCUCGCGCUCAGCGUCGUGUGAGGACCUGUUUCUCCUGCACCAGGGCUAUGUGUAUAGUAUAUAAAUACAGAGCUAUAGAUAUGUAACUGUAUGUCUUUUAUGUUUGUUUUUUUUUCAUGAAUGUCCGUUUCUCAUCCGCACACGCCGAACUCCUCGCUCAUGAACACUGCAUAUCUUUCUCUGAUGAAAUGAUGACUGUCUGUGUAAAGAUUUAAAAAAUGUUUUUGAGAUUAAUAUACGAGAUAGCGCCUUUACAUUUGUUUUUCUUUGGAAAUUAUUAAACUUGAAAUAAAAGUGAUUGCGUGUCCUGUGUCUUUAUUUCCUCUUGUUUUUAUUUGUUUACAUUUUUUUGUCAGUAAAAAUUUGGAAAGGUUUUAUUUGAGAGUGGUUUUUGUUUUGCCGUUAAUGCUGCCAUAUCUUCAGUACUGACAGAACAGAAUCGCAGCAUUAUAGCCAUUUUAUAGCAUUAUUUGUCUGUUUACAUUUCAAGAAAAAACAAAGCAAACAGUUCUUGAUUUUGUGGCAUUUGAGUAAAUCGUUUGUAGUAGAAAGCAAAAAAAGAAUGUAUAAGGUGAUUACUCCAGUAAAGCACAGGUCUUUUUUUUUUUUUUUUUUUUAAACAAAAGCUCUUGCUGGUAUUUUCGCAGGUCAAUUUGCAUGAAUUUACAUUUGUACUAAUCAAAUACGUGUCAAUUUGCAUAGGCCUACUUCAUAAAACCAAAAAAAAUUCUUUGUAUAGCUAAUGUUGGAAAUAAAAAUGUUUCUUUCACACUGUGUAAAGCUCUCAAGGGAAAAAAA
Long non-coding RNA from Ictalurus punctatus (channel catfish), 4943 nucleotides. The record is from Ensembl. NCBI's taxonomy places the organism in Eukaryota, Metazoa, Chordata, Actinopteri, Siluriformes, Ictaluridae.